Molecule: ribosomal RNA, 329 nt
Filed under: uncultured eukaryote
Lineage: Eukaryota
Description: partial 18S ribosomal RNA
Rfam family: Eukaryotic small subunit ribosomal RNA
Source: RNAcentral
CCCUUAGAUGUUCCGGGCCGCACGCGCGCUACACUGAUGCAUUCAACGAGUCUAAAACCUGCUCUGAUAGGGGUGGGUAAUCUUUUGAAUGUGCAUCGUGAUUGGGAUAGAUGAUUGCAAUUUUUCAUCUUCAACGAGGAAUGCCUAGUAAACGCAAGUCAUCAGCUUGCAUUGAUUACGUCCCUGCCCUUUGUACACACCGCCCGUCGCUCCUACCGAUUGAAUGAUCCGAUGAAUAUCAUGGAUUGAGGAUGCAAGCAGGUUCGCCUGUCUUCAUCUUCGAGAAGUGAAGUAAAUCUUAUCAUUUAGAGGAAGGAGAAGUCGUAACA